RNAcentral lists this ribosomal RNA (321 nucleotides) under uncultured Streptococcus sp. Its description in RNAcentral is "bacterial SSU rRNA". It matches the Rfam family "Bacterial small subunit ribosomal RNA", at positions 100 to 411 of the family's 1533-position model. Lineage: Bacteria; Bacillati; Bacillota; Bacilli; Lactobacillales; Streptococcaceae. The record is from RNAcentral.
AACGGGUGGAGUAACGCGUAGGUAACCUGCCUUGUAGCGGGGGAGUAACUAUUGGAAACGAUAGCUAAUACCGCAUAACAAUGGAUGACACAUGUCAUUUAUUUUGUAAAGGGGACGAAUUGCUCCACUACAAGAUGGACCUGCGUUGUAUUAGCUAGUAGGUGAGGUAAUGGCUCACCUAGGCGACGAUACAUAGCCGACCUGAGAGGGUGAUCGGCCACACUGGGACUGAGACACGGCCCAGACUCCUACGGGAGGCAGCAGUAGGGAAUCUUCGGCAAUGGGGGCAACCCUGACCGAGCAACGCCGCGUGAGUGAAGA